AGCCCAAGUUCGGAUUGAGGGCUGGAACUCGCCCUCAUGAAGCUGGAAUCCCUAGUAAUCGCUUGUCAACAAUCGAGGCAAUCUAGCGAAAUGUUUAUAUUGUUAGCCGCAUUUAUUCUUGCGGUUAACAGUAUGGAAACUAACUGGAAGAAGAAUCCCAAAUUGCUACAGAAGAUAAGGGCAUCGUUAGGAUUUUCUCAAAUAAAAUUUGCGAGGUUUCUUGGAACGAAGCAAAGCACUUUAAGCGCUCUUGAGCGGGGCGCGAUAAAGACGGUUUCUGAAGAAGCCGCCGAGUGCUUUGCCAAGAGGCUAAAAGGUGUGAAAAUUGCAUUUAUGACUGAAAAUGAAAUGCAACGGAAACUUUUGCAAAUAUCGCAAAGAGGAAAGUUCAAGGGAGAAUAUGCAAGAAGUAUGGCCCUUAAAGUACAUAGUAAAAAUGCAGUUGAGAGUGCAAAAUCCCAACCUCUUACAAAACAGGAGGAAAGGAUAAAUACACUUUUGAAGGAAAGCGGACUGCGCUAUGAGGCUCAUCCCGCAAUUGACGCGGGGGGCAUUUCUUUCGUGGCAGAUUUUAAGGUAGAAAAAAAUAGAUGGAUGAUUCUUAUUGAGGCUAAAGAAUUUAGGACGAAAUAUAGAUUGAAAGCGCCUAUAUGCGAACUUGCAUACAAGGCUACGCGGAUAAAACGCUUCAAUAAGAAUGUGAUGAUGGUUGCAGUCGUAAGCGGAAGACUUAUGCAAUCUGAGAAAAAGAUUCUUUCGGAUGAGUUUGACGCUGUUUUUGAAGAUGAAGGAAAAAUAUUAGAAUUCGUAAAUAGAUUGCCUUGAGUGAACUCGAGCGGUGAAUACGUCCCCGCUCCUUGCACACACCGCCCGUCAAAUCACCCAAACGAAGUUUUGGUGAGGCUUUGCUUCUUGGCAGACCCGAACCAAUUCGUCGCGAGGGGGGUUAAGUCGUAACAAGGUAUCCGUAGGGGAACCUGCGGAUAGAUCACCUCCAAU
This 999-nucleotide ribosomal RNA is filed under the name Candidatus Micrarchaeota archaeon CG11_big_fil_rev_8_21_14_0_20_47_5. Its description in RNAcentral is "partial 16S ribosomal RNA". It matches the Rfam family "Archaeal small subunit ribosomal RNA", at positions 1240 to 1478 of the family's 1478-position model. The record is from RNAcentral. Lineage: Archaea; Nanobdellati; Microcaldota.